AUAAUGCUACUUCCGUCCAGCCACAGCCCCGCUUGACCGCGGGAUCACUCAAUGGGGGCGGCUCGCAGAGAUCCUGGGGGAGGUGAAAUUCCUAUGG
Oscillibacter valericigenes Sjm18-20 is the source of this 97-nucleotide non-coding RNA. Lineage: Bacteria; Bacillati; Bacillota; Clostridia; Eubacteriales; Oscillospiraceae. The record is from Rfam.